Molecule: ribosomal RNA, 514 nt
Filed under: uncultured bacterium
Lineage: Bacteria
Description: bacterial SSU rRNA
Rfam family: Bacterial small subunit ribosomal RNA
Source: RNAcentral
GAUGAACGCUAGCGGGAGGCUUAACACAUGCAAGUCGAGGGGCAGCAUAGGGUAGCAAUACUCUGAUGGCGACCGGCAAACGGGUGAGUAACGCGUAUGCAACCUACCCUGUACAGGGGGAUAACCCGGAGAAAUUCGGACUAAUAUCCCGUAAUAAUAUCCGGAGGCAUCUUUGGAUAUUUAAAGUUCCGACGGUACGGGAUGGGCAUGCGUAACAUUAACUGGUUGGUAAGGUAACGGCUUACCAAGGCUAUGAUGUUUAGGGGUCCUGAGAGGGUGGUCCCCCACACUGGUACUGAGACACGGACCAGACUCCUACGGGAGGCAGCAGUGAGGAAUAUUGGUCAAUGGGCGCAAGCCUGAACCAGCCAUCCCGCGUGCAGGAAGACGGCCCUAUGGGUUGUAAACUGCUUUUCCGAGGGAGAGAAACUUACGCACGUGUUGCGUGACUGACGGUACCCUGGGAAUAAGCAUCGGCUAACUCCGUGCCAGCAGCCGCGGUAAACCGAGAGUA